CAGUAGCCGCGGUAAUACGGAGGGUGCAAGCGUUAAUCGGAUUUACUGGGCGUAAAGCGUGCGUAGGCGGCUUCUUAAGUCGGAUGUGAAAUCCCUGAGCUUAACUUAGGAAUUGCAUUCGAUACUGGGAAGCUAGAGUAUGGGAGAGGAUGGUAGAAUUCCAGGUGUAGCGGUGAAAUGCGUAGAGAUCUGGAGGAAUACCGAUGGCGAAGGCAGCCAUCUGGCCUAAUACUGACGCUGAGGUACGAAAGCAUGGGGAGCAAACAGGAUUAGAUACCCCGGUAGUCCCUGUCUCUUAUAA
RNAcentral lists this ribosomal RNA (301 nucleotides) under uncultured bacterium. Its description in RNAcentral is "partial 16S ribosomal RNA". It matches the Rfam family "Bacterial small subunit ribosomal RNA", at positions 509 to 809 of the family's 1533-position model. The record is from RNAcentral.